This 428-nucleotide ribosomal RNA is filed under the name uncultured bacterium. Its description in RNAcentral is "partial 16S ribosomal RNA". It matches the Rfam family "Bacterial small subunit ribosomal RNA", at positions 354 to 796 of the family's 1533-position model. The record is from RNAcentral.
GUGGGGAAUAUUGGGCAAUGGGCGCAAGCCUGACCCAGCAACGCCGCGUGAGGGAAGAAGGCUUUCGGGUUGUAAACCUCUGUCCUUGGUGACGAAACAAAUGACGGUAGCCAAGGAGGAAGCCCCGGCUAACUACGUGCCAGCAGCCGCGGUAAUACGUAGGGGGCGAGCGUUGUCCGGAAUUACUGGGCGUAAAGGGUGCGUAGGUGGCCUUUUAAGUUGGAUGUGAAAUACCCGGGCUUAACUUGGGGGGUGCAUCUAAUACUGGAGGGCUAGAGUGCAGGAGAGGAAAGCGGAAUUCCUAGUGUAGCGGUGAAAUGCGUAGAUAUUAGGAGGAACACCAGUGGCGAAGGCGGCUUUCUGGACUGUAACUGACACUGAGGCACGAAAGCGUGGGGAGCAAACAGGAUUAGAAACCCUUGUAGUCC